UACUCAGGUAGAUUAAUCAAUGAGUGAUAGAUUUCUCUUAGAAGAAAUUUAAAGGUCUGAGUGAAUAAACUAUACAGAGAACAAUACCUAUAGUAUUUGUUAGAUGUUACAUCCCAGCUCUUUUGUUCUAACAGGGGUGAUCUGAGCCGGAUCACCCCUGCCAGAUCACCCUAGUUUGAGUUUCUUUGUUAUGCAUGCUUUCCUUUGUUCUGUAACAUUUUGGCGGGAAUGUCAAAUCCACUAUAAAACUUAUAAUUAAUUUUACGGAAAAGACUAUCUAUCAAAAUUCACGUAGAAAAAAUCCAGUAGAUAUGCUGGGAUUCGAACUCAAGACCUUUAGCAUAUCAAGCCACGACACAUACCACUACACCAGGACGACUUGAU
This 384-nucleotide long non-coding RNA is filed under the name Mytilus galloprovincialis (Mediterranean mussel). Lineage: Eukaryota; Metazoa; Mollusca; Bivalvia; Mytilida; Mytilidae. The record is from RNAcentral.